Non-coding RNA from Ciona intestinalis (vase tunicate), 1036 nucleotides. NCBI's taxonomy places the organism in Eukaryota, Metazoa, Chordata, Ascidiacea, Phlebobranchia, Cionidae. The record is from RefSeq and is a predicted model, not a curated record.
GCGGAAUUCCAAUCACGAUGGCAGGAAUUGCCGUCAUGAACGUCCCGCAUUGCCAAGAUAAAAAAAAUGACAAAGGUCUACGUGGCCAAUGACUUGACGGAAGACGUCAUACUUGGUAUGGACUUUUUGGAGGAUAAUCAAUGCAUCGCCGUUGAUUACGAAGCUAUGACGUUUGUCAGCAGGGUUUCCCUGGAACAUAACCAAGUGUCACAAACGUAACAGCAAAUAACCAUCAAGAUACAUUAUCAGACAACGUGUCUGAACUAUUAAAACAACUGAACGUUGACGCUAUACCCCUCAGCCAAGUAGAACGUUCGUCCCUUGUUGAAAUUUUAAGAAAAAGAUCAGCUGCGUUUUUAUUAUCCGACCGCGAUCAAGGAAUGACCCACAUCGUGAAACAUCACAUUGACACUGGCUCUGCAACACCAAUUCGACAAUAUCCACAUCGCAUGUCGGAACACCAAAAGAAGGAAAUGUGAAGAUACACUUGACACGAUGAGACUGUAGGUUCUGGUACCCGAGCCAAUGCGACCAGCAAUAAUCCACGGCCAUGGGGGAGGUCACCUGGCAAAAGAAAAGGACAGCCUGCCGAGUCGCUGAACGAUUCUUUUGACGAAAGUGGAGACGUGAUGUCUUAAUCUAUUGUGAUAAAUGCGCAACGUGCGAAAGACGUUAACUGCCUCCCAAGACUCUUAAGGCUCCACUUGUACCAUCCACAGAACUCGUAACCGUGCAACGAAUUGAGAUCGAUAUCCUUCGAGGACUUCCGAUGGCACAAUCUGGUAAUCGCUAUAUACUUGUAGCAUGUGAAAUAUAUACAAAGUUUAUGCAGGCAUGGCCAAUGAGAUCACAGACGGCACAAGAAACGGCACAAACUCUCUAUCAUCGUUGGUUUACCGUUCAUGGAGUUCCGGAUCGUGUAUAUUCCGACCAAGGUGGCAAUUUUGAAAGUGCAAUAUUCCAGAAACUGACCAGUUACUUGGAUGCAAGAAAAGCCGCACUUCCAGCUAUCAUCCUUCUGGGAAUGGCGGAGUAG